GCUUACGGCCACACCUACCUGAGCACGCCCGAUCUCGUCUGAUCUCGGAAGCUAAGCAGGGUCGGGCCCGGUUAGUACUUGGAUGGGAGACCGCCUGGGAAUACCAGGUGCUGUAAGCC
This 119-nucleotide ribosomal RNA is filed under the name Esox lucius (northern pike). Lineage: Eukaryota; Metazoa; Chordata; Actinopteri; Esociformes; Esocidae. The record is from RNAcentral.